CCGGGUUGCGGACAGUGUCUGGUGGGUAGUUUGACUGGGGCGGUCUCCUCCUAAAGAGUAACGGAGGAGCACGAAGGUUGGCUAAUCCUGGUCGGACAUCAGGAGGUUAGUGCAAUGGCAUAAGCCAGCUUGACUGCGAGCGUGACGGCGCGAGCAGGUGCGAAAGCAGGUCAUAGUGAUCCGGUGGUUCUGAAUGGAAGGGCCAUCGCUCAACGGAUAAAAGGUACUCCGGGGAUAACAGGCUGAUACCGCCCAAGAGUUCAUAUCGACGGCGGUGUUUGGCACCUCGAUGUCGGCUCAUCACAUCCUGGGGCUGAAGUAGGUCCCAAGGGUAUGGCUGUUCGCCAUUUAAAGUGGUACGCGAGCUGGGUUUAGAACGUCGUGAGACAGUUCGGUCCCUAUCUGCCGUGGGCGCUGGAGAACUGAGGGGGGCUGCUCCUAGUACGAGAGGACCGGAGUGGACGCAUCACUGGUGUUCGGGUUGUCAUGCCAAUGGCACUGCCCGGUAGCUAAAUGCGGAAGAGAUAAGUGCUGAAAGCAUCUAAGCACGAAACUUGCCCCGAGAUGAGUUCUCCCUGACCCUUUAAGGGUCCUGAAGGAACGUUGAAGACGACGACGUUGAUAGGCCGGGUGUGUAAGCGCAGCGAUGCGUUGAGCUAACCGGUACUAAUGAACCGUGAGG
Molecule: ribosomal RNA, 682 nt
Filed under: Escherichia coli
Lineage: Bacteria; Pseudomonadati; Pseudomonadota; Gammaproteobacteria; Enterobacterales; Enterobacteriaceae
Description: partial 23S ribosomal RNA
Rfam family: Bacterial large subunit ribosomal RNA
Source: RNAcentral